Molecule: ribosomal RNA, 253 nt
Filed under: uncultured bacterium
Lineage: Bacteria
Description: partial 16S ribosomal RNA
Rfam family: Bacterial small subunit ribosomal RNA
Source: RNAcentral
GACGGAGGAUGCAAGCGUUAUCCGGAAUGAUUGGGCGUAAAGCGUCCGCAGGUGGCAGUUCAAGUCUGCUGUCAAAGACCGGGGCUUAACUUCGGAAAGGCAGUGGAAACUGAACAGCUAGAGUAUGGUAGGGGCAGAGGGAAUUCCUGGUGUAGCGGUGAAAUGCGUAGAGAUCAGGAAGAACAUCGGUGGCGAAGGCGCUCUGCUGGACCAUAACUGACACUCAGGGACGAAAGCUAGGGGAGCAAAUGGG